GUGGGGAAUAUUGGACAAUGGGCGCAAGCCUGAUCCAGCCAUGCCGCGUGAGUGAUGAAGGCCCUAGGGUUGUAAAGCUCUUUCAGUGGGGACGAUAAUGACGGUACCCACAGAAGAAGCCCCGGCUAACUUCGUGCCAGCAGCCGCGGUAAUACGAAGGGGGCUAGCGUUGUUCGGAUUUACUGGGCGUAAAGCGCACGUAGGCGGAUCGUUAAGUCGAGGGUGAAAUCCUGGAGCUCAACUCCAGAACUGCCUUCGAUACUGGCGAGCUUGAGUCCGGAAGAGGUGAGUGGAACUCCUAGUGUAGAGGUGGAAUUCGUAGAUAUUAGGAAGAACACCAGUGGCGAAGGCGGCUCACUGGUCCGGUACUGACGCUGAGGUGCGAAAGCGUGGGGAGCAAACAGGAUUAGAAACCCUGGUAGUCC
RNAcentral lists this ribosomal RNA (425 nucleotides) under uncultured bacterium. RNAcentral describes it as "partial 16S ribosomal RNA". It matches the Rfam family "Bacterial small subunit ribosomal RNA", at positions 354 to 796 of the family's 1533-position model. The record is from RNAcentral.